This 103-nucleotide microRNA precursor is filed under the name Xyrichtys novacula (pearly razorfish). Lineage: Eukaryota; Metazoa; Chordata; Actinopteri; Labriformes; Labridae. The record is from RNAcentral.
UGUGAAGCCUUAUCCCCAUGUCUCUUACACUUCACACCACUGAAAUCUGGUUAAAUACAGACACAGACUCCGGUGGAAUGAAGGAUAGAACACAUGGGAUAAU